Molecule: long non-coding RNA, 1667 nt
Filed under: Oryctolagus cuniculus (rabbit)
Lineage: Eukaryota; Metazoa; Chordata; Mammalia; Lagomorpha; Leporidae
Description: lncRNA (ENSOCUG00000032444.1)
Source: RNAcentral
UAUGGACGGUGGCCCUGGGAAAGCCCUGGAGGUGUAGGCCCUCAGCUCCCCACCUCAGGGCCCUGGAUCCAGGCACGUCCCUGGUUCCCUGGGAGAGCUGCCCAGUUGGUUUCCAGGAUUGGCCUGCUUCCAAGUGAGCAGGCAAUGACCCAGGCAGCUUGGGGGAAUGGCUGCCUUGGGGGGGGUCACACCCACAGCUUGGCCUGGCCCUGAUUGGGUCACUCCCAUCUUUGCCUCCAUUGGCCACCACCCAGUGGGGUUUGGGCAGGGGCCAGACUCUGCACCAUCAAAGAUCCAUGGUGGAGACCCAGCUUUUUUUUUUUUUUGGGGGGGGGGGGAGGGGCAGGGGAGGGAGAGGGGUGGGAGCGGUCCCAGGAGGAACUACCUCAUUCUUAACAGCUUGGGGAAACUCUUACUUUUAGCUGUGUUUGAGAUUGGACAUUCCAGGGCAACUCCCACGAAGACGUUGGCCACCAUAUGCCCAGCUGUGCACACACUACCCACAUUAGGUACUUCCAAGUGCAGCGGUUGCAGAAGUGGAAACAAACCUGGCGGCCCGAGAGACCACCGGGAACACACACCCUCCCUUGGCAGUUCCAAGAAGGGGGGACAAGGAGCUCCAGGGCCAGUGGUCACCUUUGCAUCCAUGCUGAGAUGCAAGGCUUAGGCUGCAGCAGCUGGAGGCACCUGAGACCCUCCCCCCCAACCCUGGCUGUUGUCUACACUGUCAAAAAUUUAAGUGGAAACCGAAAGGCCGGUAUGAGCCCCAAGAACCACUUGUGGACAGAGCUGGCAUUCAGAGGAAACAGUGGGGUGAAGACGCCGGGCCGGGAACCUCCAGGACAAAUGAUUGAUUUUCAACAUAAGAAUGCUGUAUGGCAAUGAAAAGGGAGGGAUUACUGCCAGCCACGUCAUCCAGGGCGAACCAGAAGGCUCCCUCUGUGUGACGCCACCUACAGGACAUUCUAGGAAAGGCAACACUCUAGGGCUAGUAAAGCAAUCAGGGUUGCUGGGGGGCGUGAUGAUGGUGAAGACCGGGAGACUUGUCCAAGUUCACAGAACUGAGUACAAUUACCCCGGAAUGAUGAGUGAGACUGUGUCCAGACAGGCGUGCACGCUGCUCGGCUGCACCCCGCUUCAUGCUUGUGAAGUGUGCUCUCUCCCUACCUGGGAACCAGCAGGUCCUCAGGCCCCUGUUUAAGCGCCUCACAGCUGGACCUAAAACCACCUAAAUGAGCCCAGAUCUUUGACGUUAUGAAGGGACUCCGGCUCAGCCACGACUUUCACGCACCCAUCCACUCAUCGGUUGACCUUUACCCACAGAACAGAAACAAACCCCUGGCUCCUGAAUUUGUACGGUUUCUGUUUGCUCCGGCCAUUCAUCAGCCCCGAGCAGCCGGGAAGUAUGUGCUGAGUGGAGGUAGGAGGGAGGCCCAGGUCACCCCAUCAGGGGCGGCCAUCCACUUGGCCCAAACAGCCAGUGCGCUGUGGUCCUGAUCGAAAGCCCUUGAAACAAAAAAACAAGGUGGCAGGUGGCUCUUCCUGGAGGCUGUCAGAGGAACUUGCUCGGAACACCAUGCACCCACCCCAAGUGUUUCUUUUCUUUUUUAAAUCUGGUUUUCACAGACACAACUUCUGUGCAUCAGUGUCUCCCAGGUGGGGACAGG